GCUCAGGAUGAACGCUGGCGGCGUGCUUAACACAUGCAAGUCGAACGAUGAAGCCCAGCUUGCUGGGUGGAUUAGUGGCGAACGGGUGAGUAACACGUGAGUAACCUGCCCUUAACUCUGGGAUAAGCCUGGGAAACUGGGUCUAAUACCGGAUAGGAGCGCCUACCGCAUGGUGGGUGUUGGAAAGAUUUAUCGGUUUUGGAUGGACUCGCGGCCUAUCAGCUUGUUGGUGAGGUAAUGGCUCACCAAGGCGACGACGGGUAGCCGGCCUGAGAGGGUGACCGGCCACACUGGGACUGAGACACGGCCCAGACUCCUACGGGAGGCAGCAGUGGGGAAUAUUGCACAAUGGGCGCAAGCCUGAUGCAGCGACGCCGCGUGAGGGAUGACGGCCUUCGGGUUGUAAACCUCUUUCAGUAGGGAAGAAGCGAAAGUGACGGUACCUGCAGAAGAAGCACCGGCUAACUACGUGCCAGCAGCCGCGGUAAUACGUAGGGUGCGAGCGUUAUCCGGAAUUAUUGGGCGUAAAGAGCUCGUAGGCGGUUUGUCGCGUCUGUCGUGAAAGUCCGGGGCUUAACCCCGGAUCUGCGGUGGGUACGGGCAGACUAGAGUGCAGUAGGGGAGACUGGAAUUCCUGGUGUAGCGGUGGAAUGCGCAGAUAUCAGGAGGAACACCGAUGGCGAAGGCAGGUCUCUGGGCUGUAACUGACGCUGAGGAGCGAAAGCAUGGGGAGCGAACAGGAUUAGAUACCCUGGUAGUCCAUGCCGUAAACGUUGGGCACUAGGUGUGGGGACCAUUCCACGGUUUCCGCGCCGCAGCUAACGCA
RNAcentral lists this ribosomal RNA (826 nucleotides) under bacterium. Its description in RNAcentral is "bacterial SSU rRNA". It matches the Rfam family "Bacterial small subunit ribosomal RNA", at positions 22 to 859 of the family's 1533-position model. The record is from RNAcentral.